This 253-nucleotide ribosomal RNA is filed under the name uncultured bacterium. RNAcentral's name for it is "partial 16S ribosomal RNA". It matches the Rfam family "Bacterial small subunit ribosomal RNA", at positions 524 to 776 of the family's 1533-position model. The record is from RNAcentral.
UACAUGGGGUGCAAACGUUGCUCGGAAUUAUUGGGCGUAAAGCGCGCGUAGGCGGUUACUCAAGUCGGAUGUGAAAGCCCUCGGCUUAACUGAGGAAGUGCACCCGAAACUGAGUAGCUAGAGUACUAAAGAGGGUCGCGGAAUUCCCGGUGUAGAGGUGAAAUUCGUAGAUAUCGGGAGGAACACCGGUGGCGAAGGCGGCGACCUGGGACGGUACUGACGCUGAGACGCGAAAGCGUGGGGAGCGAACAGG